CCCUAUUGGAUAUUUCUCCAUUAACCUCCAGUCUCUCUCCUUUCUCUCCGACUCUCCUUUCUCUCCCCUCCCACCUCUUCACACAUGCACACGCCCCAGACUCCUUCCCACUCAUUUCCCUCACGCGCCCUUACUAUCCACUUUCACUGGAGACCAACUGCAAUCCGCUUAGGGUUUUUUUUCUCCUCUUCCUUUUACUUUUCUUUCCGCAUGCCGUUAUUUCCCUUCAGUUAUCCCUUCAUGUACGGAGACACCCCCCUCUCGAACGCCGCACUCUUACUAUGUGUGGCGCCCCUGAAAAAAAAUGUAGGCCGUGGAUUGUCCCCGCAUUAGACUGCAUGCCACAAACCGCUUGUCGUAUCCUGUCAACAUUUUUUAUUUUUUUGCUUCUCUUCUGCAGUAUUUUUUUUUGUUGUUGUUUGGAAAUCGCUUUCUGUGCAGUAAUCUUUUUCUAAAGUCGUGUGUGCAUUGAAAAGCGGAAGCUGGGAGUUGAAGAAAGGAAAAUCGAGUGUGUGGACAUGUGAAGAAGAUAGAGGCAAAAAAAGAAAGAAAGAAUGAGGGGGAAAUGGAGAGCAUGGUCUGCAGUAGAAAGCAUGAAGGACAGGGAAAGAGAGAAAGAGUAUCAGUACUGGCAAGAAAAUCAGGAGGAGGAAGAGAGGAACGAGAGGACCGUAAAGGGGGGGAUUGACUCAGGAAGGAGGGACGGCCGGAUAGGAAUUGGUAAAAUAAAAAAAAAAUAAAGAUGGGAAAAAAACUCCUGUAUUAGAAGAAACUGGACGUUUCCUCAGACUCAGACUUUUACUCUCUGGUUUUUUCGUCAUCAUUUCCCCGAUCUUUCCUCUCAUUCAUUCGUAAGUAUGCAGCAUGUACCUGUCCUUUUCCUCUCCAUUCUUAAAUACUUUAUCCCUUCUCACUCUCCUGUUUUUUGUCGUCGUUUGUUAAAAAUAAGCCUGUAAGUUGCCUCUCCCCCUCCAUCAGUCCAUCUAUCCCUCGCUCUUUUCCCUCCUUCAGCUCACUUUGUAUCUUGAGUCUUCGUUCGUUCUCUCCCCUCCAAACACACACACCUCUGUUCACAUUCAGCAGAGCACUAUGUUCUCCGAAUACACCGGGUUUCAGAGGGGCCCAUGAAUGGGAGGCUAGCUCGCGGAGGAUUCAGGGUUGAAUUUAAGAUGACGUGGACUCUUGGCAUGCUUUAUAUAAGACUGAAUUUAAGAUGACCUGGACUCUUGGACAUGUUUUAUACAAGAAAUGCCAUGUCCAACAAUAGAUGCCUUCCCAGUGAGAAGAGGGGUGAAAGUUGCUUCCUGCUUUAAAGGAUGGGGUCCGGUCCAGGUUCUGCAGAGCGUCUAUGACAAACGGCAACCCAGCUUCUGUGACAUUCUUCCUGCUGACCCUGACAUUACCUCAUUCUCCUCCCCCUUAUCCAGCCACCAUGUGCAACAUAAUCUGUGUGCCUCUUGUUGUUUGCCGUCUUUUUUCUGGCCUUCUCGUCUCGGCCGACAUGAUUCCUCGGUGAAGACGGGAAGGACAAACGUGGGAUAAGCUCAGCUAAAAUUACAAACUGUGUGAAGAGAGAUUCAGAUUGUGGACGUUUAUGACGGCAUGCUGAAUUCAUCCAGUCAUUUUAGAUUAAUAAAGUUUCAAAAACAAGCCUGCUGUUGUCAUCUAAUAUCAAUGUUGAAAUGUCAGUAUUGUGCAGUAUAUUUAAUCUUCUUUUCUGUUUUUAUAUGUAUUUUGUAUUCUUUGUGUGAGUCUAUUUGCAGCCAGUAAAUAUAUGUAUAUUCUAUUAAACCACAAACUAUUAUAAUUCAUAUUAUUUUAUGAGACAAGUUACACUAGAAUAAUUUCAGUCAGGUUCUUUAAAUUUGGCCCCACUUUUAGUCUUCUGAAAUCUAUUAAAUGUUUCAUUAUAUCUUUAUUUCAGUUGUAUUAUGAACAUAAACUUACAUCGUUUUAUUAUUAUUUUUGAGAAGAUCUGUAUUUAUGUAACCUUAAUCUAAAUCAUACAAAUGCUCCACUUUUUAAGCCUUCCAACAGCGUAAGAUGUUAAAAGUUGAAACGGUGAAACAGUGAAUUGAAUUAGGGAAUUAAAACAGAGAUGAACAGAGGAGCAGCAAAAGCAAAUGAGGUGGAUUAGCCACCAGAUCAUACUGCUGUGGAAUAUUGCUGAACUGUUAGCAUGUUCUAAUACGGUCAUACAGCAGCCGACUUCAGUCAGAGGCUUCUUCAGGUUAACUGCAAGACUGACUGCUGCUGGAGAUCCGUCCUGCCUGCAGCAUCACCAUCAACUCUUUGGAAGUAUGUUUGGUGUCAAUAAAGUGUUUUUGAAAUUGAA
Long non-coding RNA from Poeciliopsis prolifica (blackstripe livebearer), 2335 nucleotides. RefSeq lists it as uncharacterized. NCBI's taxonomy places the organism in Eukaryota, Metazoa, Chordata, Actinopteri, Cyprinodontiformes, Poeciliidae. The record is from RefSeq and is a predicted model, not a curated record. The transcript has 6 exons.